GGGGGGCAUACAUGGCAGUCGAACGGAGUCAUUAAUGAGAAUCCUUCGAGAUUCAGACUUCUUGACGUACUGGCGAACGGGGGAGUAACGCGGGAGCAAUCGGCCUUUGGAUGGGGAAUAACAUCCGGAAACGACUGCUAUUACCGCAUAAUGCAGCGGGACCGCGUGAUUUUGCUGCCAAAUAUUUAGCGUCCAGAGAUGACCUCGCGUCAGAUUACCCAUGUGGCGGGGUAACGGCCCACCAAAGCGACUAUCAAUACCCGGACUGAGAGGUUGAACGGCCACUUUGAGACUGACACACGGCCCACACUCCUACGGGAGGCAACAGUGGGAAAUAUUGCGCAGUGGGGAAAACCCUGACGCAGCAACGCCGCGUGAGUGAAAAAGGCCUUCCGCUUGUAGAGCUCUUUACUCAGGGAAGAAUAAUGACAGUACCUGAAGAAUACCCUCCGGCUAACUACGUGCCAGCAGCCGCGGUAAUACGUAGGGAGCAAGCGUUAUCCGGAUUUGCUGGGUGUAGAGGGCGUGAAGGCGGGCCUGCAAGUCAGAAGUGAAAUCUGGGGGCUUAACCCCCAUGACUGCUUUUGAAACUGUGGGUCUUGAGUGAUGGAGAGGCAGGAGUAAUUCCCGAUGUAGCGGUGAAAUGCAUAUAUAUUGGAAGGAACACCAGUGACGAAGGCGGCCUGCUGGACAUUAACUGACACUGACGCGCGAAAGCGUGGGGAGCAGAAAGGAUUACAUAGCCUGUCA
RNAcentral lists this ribosomal RNA (750 nucleotides) under uncultured bacterium. RNAcentral's name for it is "bacterial SSU rRNA". It matches the Rfam family "Bacterial small subunit ribosomal RNA", at positions 41 to 792 of the family's 1533-position model. The record is from RNAcentral.